UUGAACGCUGGCGGCAGGCUUAACACAUGCAAGUCGAGCGGUAGCACAGGGGAGCUUGCUCCCUGGGUGACGAGCGGCGGACGGGUGAGUAAUGUCUGGGAAACUGCCUGAUGGAGGGGGAUAACUACUGGAAACGGUAGCUAAUACCGCAUAACGUCGCAAGACCAAAGAGGGGGACCUUAGGGCCUCUUGCCAUCAGAUGUGCCCAGAUGGGAUUAGCUAGUAGGUGGGGUAAUGGCUCACCUAGGCGACGAUCCCUAGCUGGUCUGAGAGGAUGAGCGGCCACACUGGAACUGAGACACGGUCCAGACUCCUACGGGAGGCAGCAGUGGGGAAUAUUGCACAAUGGGCGCAAGCCUGAUGCAGCCAUGCCGCGUGUGUGAAGAAGGCCUUCGGGUUGUAAAGCACUUUCAGCGAGGAGGAAGGUGGUGAACUUAAUACGUUCAUCAAUUGACGUUACUCGCAGAAGAAGCACCGGCUAACUCCGUG
RNAcentral lists this ribosomal RNA (489 nucleotides) under uncultured bacterium. RNAcentral's name for it is "partial 16S ribosomal RNA". It matches the Rfam family "Bacterial small subunit ribosomal RNA", at positions 30 to 507 of the family's 1533-position model. The record is from RNAcentral.